AACGCAUAUUGCACUCUGUUUCGGCAGAGUAUGCCUGUUUGAGAAUCUAUUGUAUUUCUUACCUCUUGGUGCUUUUCUCUCGGGACGAGCGCUACUAGGUAGAUUUGAGACAUGAAUGCCUGCAUUCUGUCUUUAAAUAGAUUGCCGCCUUGAUGGUGACUUUUUGUGUUUGAAUAGAACCUAGUUCUCGAUUACGCUUAGAGGCUCUAUCGUAGGGUGGUUCAUACCUAUAAAGACUAGUACCUUGGGAACGUCUUGAACCAUGGUCUCAAAUCAGGUAGGAAGACCCGCUGAACUUAA
RNAcentral lists this unclassified non-coding RNA (300 nucleotides) under uncultured fungus. RNAcentral's name for it is "partial contains 5.8S ribosomal RNA, internal transcribed spacer 2, and large subunit ribosomal RNA". Lineage: Eukaryota; Fungi. The record is from RNAcentral.